Molecule: ribosomal RNA, 368 nt
Filed under: uncultured bacterium
Lineage: Bacteria
Description: bacterial SSU rRNA
Rfam family: Bacterial small subunit ribosomal RNA
Source: RNAcentral
CUGUUGUUAAAGAAGAACACGUAUGAGAGUAACUGUUCAUACGUUGACGGUAUUUAACCAGAAAGUCACGGCUAACUACGUGCCAGCAGCCGCGGUAAUACGUAGGUGGCAAGCGUUAUCCGGAUUUAUUGGGCGUAAAGAGAGUGCAGGCGGUUUUCUAAGUCUGAUGUGAAAGCCUUCGGCUUAACCGGAGAAGUGCAUCGGAAACUGGAUAACUUGAGUGCAGAAGAGGGUAGUGGAACUCCAUGUGUAGCGGUGGAAUGCGUAGAUAUAUGGAAGAACACCAGUGGCGAAGGCGGCUACCUGGUCUGCAACUGACGCUGAGACUCGAAAGCAUGGGUAGCGAACAGGAUUAGAUACCCUGGUAG